AUUGAACGCUGGCGGCAGGCCUAACACAUGCAAGUCGAGCGGAUGAACGGAGCUUGCUCCUGGAUUCAGCGGCGGACGGGUGAGUAAUGCCUAUGAAUCUGCCUGGUAGUGGGGGAUAACGUCCGGAAGCGGGCGCUAAUACCGCAUACGUCCUGAGGGAGAAAGAGGGGGAUCUUCGGACCUCUCGCUAUCAUAUGAGCCUAGGUCGGAUUAGCUAGUUUGUGGGGUAAAGACCUACCAAGGCGACGAUCCGUAACUGGUCUGAGAGGAUGAUCAGUCACAUUGGAAGUGAGACACGGUCCAGACUCCUACGGGAGGCAGCAGUGGGGAAUAUUGGACAAUGGGCGAAAGCCUGAUCCAGCCAUGCCGCGUGUGUGAAGAAGGUCUUCGGAUUGUAAAGAACUUUAAGUUGGGAGGAAGGGCAGUAAGUUAAUACCUUGCUGUUUUGACGUUACCAACAGAAUAAGCACCGGCUAACUUCGUG
This 484-nucleotide ribosomal RNA is filed under the name uncultured bacterium. RNAcentral describes it as "partial 16S ribosomal RNA". It matches the Rfam family "Bacterial small subunit ribosomal RNA", at positions 30 to 507 of the family's 1533-position model. The record is from RNAcentral.